This 32-nucleotide ribosomal RNA is filed under the name Pseudonoseris szyszylowiczii. RNAcentral describes it as "partial 18S ribosomal RNA". Lineage: Eukaryota; Viridiplantae; Streptophyta; Magnoliopsida; Asterales; Asteraceae. The record is from RNAcentral.
UUUCCGUAGGUGAACCUGCAGAAGGAUCAUUG